UCCCGCCUUCCCGGGGCCGCCGGUCGGGAGAACGCGCGGACCCCGCGGAGGGCGGGCGGGCGGUCCCGGGGCUCCGCGCCCCCUUCCCCGCCGAGCUGGCCCCCGGUGCGAGGUGCUGCUGUACUCGGGACCCCCGUGCCAUGAUUACAUCCCGCACAGCCUGGGAUCUGGGAUCCGGGCCCUCUGCCGGAGCCGUCUGGAACACGAAGGACCUUGUCCCGGACGGCUGCGGGCAGGACAGGCUCAGUGCUGGGAGCGGAGCAGGCGCCUCUCCCCGGGUUCCUCUGCUGCCUACUCUGCUUCACCGUAAAAUCCUCAGUGUGAGCUGGCCAGACGCUGCAAACCCCCGUGGGCUCUGCCGGGCUCUCCAGGCCCUGCGGGAUACUGCGUGCAAGCGGCGGGAGGAGACCCGGCACCAGGACCUGACACCAGCCACGGAGGAGCCACUGGCAUCCCCCUGUGAGCCAGCAGCUGCCACAGCGGUGCAGGCAGCCUCCACCAUGAACCUGGAGAAAGCAGGAGGGAGGCUCUGCAGUGGGAAACGUGCCAGCCUGCCAGCAGCCCGACCCUUCCCAGUGAUCCAGAAGGUGAUGGCCUCCAUGGCACAUCUGCAGAAGGAGAAGCUGCAGCUGCAGGAGGAGCUGCUGGGGCUGCAGGAGAAGCUUGCUGCCCAGGAGAACGACGAGCUCUCCCUCUCUCUGCAGCUGCAAGGCCAGGUUGAAACUCUGAAGGCGAAGGUCCUGGAGCAGGCGCAGGAGAUCGGCCGGCUGCGCUCGGAGCUGGGUGGCACGGAUGCAGAGAAGCACCGGGACCUGCUGGCGGCCGAGAACGAGCGCCUGCGGCAGGAGAUGAAGGCAUGCGAGGGGGAGCUGCGGGAGCUGCGGCGGCAGCAGCAGCAGCAGGCACCGUGCCGGGACUGCCACCACCUCCAGGAGAACGCUGGGCUGCAGGAGCAACUGUCCCAGCUGCAGCAGGAGGCAGAGGAGACACGGGCCAAGCUGGUGGAGCUGGACCUGGAGGUGCAGCAGAAGACGAACCGCUUGGCCGAGGUGGAGCUGCGGCUCAAGGACUCCCUGGCUGAGAGAGCUGAGGAGGAGGAGCGGCUCAGCCGGCGGCUGCGGGACAGCCAGGAGACCAUCGCCAGCCUCAAAUCCCAGCCCCAGCAGAUAAAGUAUAUCAUCAAGACGGUGGAGGUGGAGUCAGCCAAGGCAAAGCAAGCCCUGUGCGAGACCCAGUCCCGAAACCAGUACCUGCAGGAGCAGGUGGGGAUGCAGAGGCAGGUGCUGAAGGAGAUGGAACAGCAGCUGCAAAGCUCCCAGAAGACGGAGGCUCAGCUCCGAGCUCAGAUUGUGAUGUACGAGGCUGAGCUGGAGCGAGCCCACGGGCAGAUGCUGGAGGAGAUGCAGGCGAUGGAGGAGGAGAAGAACCGUGCCAUCGAAGAGGCGUUUUCCCGUGCCCAGGUGGAGAUGAAGGCGGUGCACGAGAACCUGGCAGGUGUCCGGACCAACCUGCUGACGCUGCAGCCGGCUCUGCGCACCCUCACCCACGACUACAACAGCCUGAAGCGUCAGGUCCGCGACUUCCCCCUGCUCCUCCAGGAGACCCUGCGCAGCGCCAGGGCCGAGAUCAGCCAGGCCAUCGAGGAGGUGCACAGCACCAACCGGGAACUGCUGCGCAAGUACCGGCGGGAGCUGCAGCUCCGCAAGAAGUGUCACAACGAGCUGGUGCGGCUGAAAGGAAACAUCCGUGUUUUCGGGAGAGUCCGCCCCAUCACAAAGGAGGAUGGUGAGGGCCCAGAGGCGGCCAAUGCAGUGACUUUUGACACCGAUGAUGAUGCUGUCCUGCACCUCCUGCACAAGGGGAAGCAGGUGUCCUUCGAGCUGGAUAAAGUCUUCCCCCCACAAGCAUCCCAGGAGGAGGUGUUUCAGGAGGUUCAAGCCCUGGUCACCUCCUGCAUUGAUGGCUACAACGUUUGCAUCUUCGCCUACGGGCAGACAGGGGCAGGAAAAACCUACACGAUGGAGGGAACAGCAGCAAAUCCAGGUAUCAACCAGCGGGCCCUGCAGCUCCUGUUCUCCGAGGUGCGGGGCAAAGCAGCUGACUGGGAUUACACCAUCACCGUCAGCGCCGCCGAGAUCUACAACGAGUCGCUCAGGGACUUGCUGGGGAAGGAGCCGCAGGAGAAGCUGGAGAUCAAGCUGUGCCCCGAUGGCAGUGGGCAGCUCUAUGUGCCCGGGCUCACCGAGUUCAGGGUGCAGAGCGUGGAGGACAUCAACAAGGUCUUUGAUUUUGGCCACGUCAAACGGGUGACAGAGUGCACCAACCUGAACGAGCACAGCUCUCGCUCCCACGCCCUCCUCAUCAUCACCGUCCGUGGCCUCGACCGCAGCACAGGGCUCCGCACCACAGGGAAGCUGAACCUGGUGGACCUGGCGGGCUCGGAGCGGGUCGGGCGGUCGGGCGCAGAGGGCAGCCGGCUCCGCGAGGCGCAGCACAUCAACAAGUCCCUCUCGGCGCUGGGCGAUGUCAUUUACGCCCUGCGCUCCCGGCAGGGCCACGUGCCCUUCCGCAACUCCAAGCUGACCUACCUGCUGCAGGACUCGCUCAGCGGCGACAGCAAGACCCUCAUGAUGGUGCAGGUCUCCCCUGCUGAGAAAAACACCAGCGAGACGCUGUGCUCCCUGAAGUUUGCCGAGAGGGUUCGCUCCGUGGAGCUGGGUCCUGUCUCCCGCAAGGCUGAGCUGGCCUCCUGGCCCAGCCAGGAGCAGCUGGAGGGUGACUCACCGGGUUCUGCAGCAACACCUGGCCGGGGCCACGCAUCCCACAGCCCAGGGCAGCUCUCCAGUCGCUCCGCCUCCAUCCGCAGGAAGCUCCACACUUCAGGUGGGUGGUGGGGCACCUUGGGAGCCCAUAUGGGGUCCCUCCAUCCAAGGAGGCUCCCACCACAAGCCCGUGGCAAAGCCUGCAUGAGGGAGUGAGCAGAUUCGUAAUCAGCUCAUUAACUAAUUGCUAAUUAGCCAUGGUUAGCACUUCUCCAAGAGCACCCUGGUGCAAAGCUGCUGCUGGCAGCUCAGGGGAUGAGGGGAGGGUAAUGCCACCAGGCUGAACUUCUCUCCCCUUUGAUUUCAGCCUGACUUAGGGGCAGCCGUGGCUGCCAGGGAAGCUGAGGUCGGUCCCACUGUGAUGAGUGCCAGCUCCUAGCUCGGGCACCAAACCCGCUCCAGGACCCAGCCCCUCACGGCGACACGGAGGUGGCUGCUGGAAGAAAUGAAGGCUUCAGUGCUGUUCCCUUGGUCACCAGGACCUGUGACCUGAGGGUGAUGGCACCUCUCACAAUGAGCAGUACAGGACCAGGGUCUCCCAGCAGCCAGACCCCCCUCUCAGAGUGGGUGACAGUGCUGCUGGGCAGGAAUCUGCCCCCUCGGAUGCUCAGCUAUGGGACAGUUGUUUUUAGCCAGAGCGAGGAACUGCUGAGUGCUCCUUCCAUCUCUCCAGCUUUGUUUUUACAAUGAAACUGGGUUGGAGGAGGUUCUUGGAGCUGGAAAGGGUGCUCGGAGCCAGGCCAGCCCCUGGCCAUGCCUCUGCUACCCCCACAGGGCCAGCCUGGCUAUGGCUCCCCCAAGACUGCACCUGGGCAACUGCCCGUUGUCUUUCAGAGCAGCAUUUCCUCCGUGGUAAGUCAGAAAAAAAUUCCAGCAGCUCCUUCCCCCGUCGGUUUCUCAAGCCCUGUUGUUGCAUGAAGGCCCCUGGUGCCAUGCAUGAGCCGAGCUGCCGUUCCUCGUGGUGCCACUGCUGCCAGGCCCUGGCACAGACCCAGAGCAGUCAUGGGCCGCCUGUGUUACACGGCACCAGGGGGGAUUUCGCAGUCUCGAAUGAAGCUAUUGUAAAGUUAUUUACCAGUUGUCUUGUCAAGAGAGAUCACAGUGUGGUCGAGAUGAAAGUGUUUGAAAUAUUUAUGCCUGUUUACAUGGACUUGGAACGGAAAACUAACGGAGAACAAACAAAAAUACCCCAAACCUCCAGCCCAAAAGCCUGUUGGCUUAUCUAUGGGGAUGGUGGCUGGCAGGGGCAUGGGAGGGGGAUGGCACUGCCUGUGGUCCUGAGCACCCACCUGUGGGUACGUUUCCUCCUGCUGCAAAUACCUGCUGGAUGCACUGAUGGCUCCUUCCACCACGGCCCUCUCCUCUCACGCUUCCACAGCAUAUUCUAUUUAAAAACAAAAAAGGGAAAAAUAAAUUUAGCCUUUUGUAUGAUUAGAUGUUUCUAUGUAUUUUAAUAAUUAAAAAUUAUCCUGUUUUGUAACAAAACUUAUUUUAAAUAAACUGUUUAAGCCAGUCCUCCUCUGCUGCUGUUCUUGAACCCUGCUUGGCUUGGGGUGGGUGCUCCUUCCCUCGCUCCCAGCAUCUCCCCUAGGGCUGGAAAAGCCCAUCACA
Corapipo altera (White-ruffed manakin) is the source of this 4433-nucleotide RNA transcript. It is a transcript of the gene named kinesin family member C3, with no coding region annotated. Lineage: Eukaryota; Metazoa; Chordata; Aves; Passeriformes; Pipridae. The transcript has 21 exons. The record is from RefSeq and is a predicted model, not a curated record.